GGGGGUAAAGUUCUAAGGUUGAAUGGCGGUCUCCAGAACCGGCUGGAUGUGGUUCGAGUCCAUAUGCCCCCA
RNAcentral lists this transfer RNA (72 nucleotides) under Alosa alosa (allis shad). Its description in RNAcentral is "tRNA-OTHER". It matches the Rfam family "tRNA". From Rfam's summary of the family: Transfer RNA (tRNA) molecules are approximately 80 nucleotides in length. Their secondary structure includes four short double-helical elements and three loops (D, anti-codon, and T loops). Further hydrogen bonds mediate the characteristic L-shaped molecular structure. tRNAs have two regions of fundamental functional importance: the anti-codon, which is responsible for specific mRNA codon recognition, and the 3' end, to which the tRNAs corresponding amino acid is attached (by aminoacyl-tRNA synthetases). tRNAs cope with the degeneracy of the genetic code in two manners: having more than one tRNA (with a specific anti-codon) for a particular amino acid; and 'wobble' base-pairing, i.e. permitting non-standard base-pairing at the 3rd anti-codon position. Lineage: Eukaryota; Metazoa; Chordata; Actinopteri; Clupeiformes; Clupeidae. The record is from RNAcentral.